RNAcentral lists this ribosomal RNA (404 nucleotides) under Cyamophila floribundae. RNAcentral's name for it is "partial 16S ribosomal RNA". It matches the Rfam family "Bacterial large subunit ribosomal RNA", at positions 1823 to 2565 of the family's 2925-position model. The record is from RNAcentral. Lineage: Eukaryota; Metazoa; Arthropoda; Insecta; Hemiptera; Psyllidae.
AAACAUUUCUGGGGGAAAAUGUUUUUGGUAUAACCUGCUCAAUGCUGUAAAUAGCUGCAGUAUUUUGACUGUACAAAGGUAGCAUAAUCAUUAGUCUUUUAAUUGAAGGCUUGUAUGAAAGGUUGAACAGAAUAUUUUUGAUUACAUGUAAACUUAUUGUUUAUGUUAAAAUACAUAUUUGUUUAAAAGGGACGAUAAGACCCUGUAGAAUUUAAAAGUUUGAAGUUUUUAUUGGGGUGAUUAAAUAAACUUUACUUCAGAUGAAUGAUUAAUGAUCCUGAACUAGAAAAAAAGAUAAAAUUACCUAAGGGAUAACAGCAUAAUUUUUUUUAAAAGAUCUUAUUAAUAAAAAAGAUUAUGACCUCGAUGUUGAAUUAAUUAGAAUUUGGUGUAGAAGUAAGUUC